This is a long non-coding RNA of Telopea speciosissima, 314 nucleotides long. RefSeq lists it as uncharacterized. The transcript has 2 exons. NCBI's taxonomy places the organism in Eukaryota, Viridiplantae, Streptophyta, Magnoliopsida, Proteales, Proteaceae. The record is from RefSeq and is a predicted model, not a curated record.
CUGACUGUUGAUGCGGGGGGACAAUGGUCCAACACUAUUCUUAAAGAUAUCCAGUUUGUUUUUCACAACAUUUGAGCAUAACAACUAAAGCACAUAAUAGAUGAUUUAGACUGUACAAAAGGAGAUUUUCUUCUUUUUCUUUUGGCAGUUCUAUGCAAAAUUAUGACUGUAAAGAGAAGUAAUUUCCUAAUUAACAAAGGAAUCACCCAAAAGCAAAGCCCCAUAGACUACAAGUAGGAAGUAUGAGACACAAAAUAAGUACCAAUGAAGAAAGAGAAAAGUUUUAAAACAUCAGCUUAUUUAAACUGCCAAAA